GAAAAAGUUGUCAGUCGCGUCCCAGGCGCUUCGGAGACGUCUCCGCUUCAACGCGAGACGUCUCGGCUGUAAGAUUUUACUUUUGACGUUGUUUGGGGUCGACUCGGCGCUUUACAGGGACGACUCCGAUGAUGAACGGUUUGAAUCCUUGUUUUUCUGUUUUUCUGAGAGGGUCGCCUCGGCACUUUACGGGGACGUCUCGGCUUAUUUGCGCUUUUUGCAUGGGGACGACUCCGCUGCCGUGGGGACGACUCCG
This 256-nucleotide long non-coding RNA is filed under the name Phoenix dactylifera (date palm). RNAcentral describes it as "long non-coding RNA (PDAC_LNC011365)". Lineage: Eukaryota; Viridiplantae; Streptophyta; Magnoliopsida; Arecales; Arecaceae. The record is from RNAcentral.